Molecule: long non-coding RNA, 888 nt
Organism: Felis catus (domestic cat)
Lineage: Eukaryota; Metazoa; Chordata; Mammalia; Carnivora; Felidae
Exons: 4
Source: RefSeq, a predicted model, not a curated record
CAACUUUAAAAGGGGGCCAUUAUUGUCUGAUGCAAUAGCAGUAGGACGGAUUUCGAGCCCAGAGCCUUUCUGCCUUCUUCGCUACAGCCCCUUGGCAGAUGACUGCCUUGUUUGCCACUGUGCUGGGCUCUGGGAGACAGUGUUCCCUACCCCCGUGGAGGUUAUGCUGAAGAAACCAACACCUCACAAAGCCAACGUGCAUGAGAACCACCCAAGUCUCUGGUGAAAAUGCACAUCGGAUGGUGAAAAUCUACCUGAGCUCCACAAACUCUGGUGAUGCCCUAGUGCCUGUCCCCCGGACCUCGCUUUGAGUAGCAAAGGCUAGAGGGUGAUACAGCAUGUUUGUGCUUUAUUCAUCUGUGAAGAUUCCAGAAGAGAAGUAGGCAGUGUUAUGGCUCAACAAGCAUCCAUUGGACAGUGGAAAUCAGUCGGGAUCGCUGUGUUGUUGAUUUUCAACAACUGUAUUUCUCUUCAGCAACAAACCUCCAGAUUUAAAAGUUGAGAUGCUCAGAGGAAGAGGUGAUGAUGAUGAACACACUUAGCCGGGCACUGUCUGAAGCGUUCUGUUUUCAUCCUGGACACCUGUUGGCUCGCUCUACACCGGUUCAUCCUCUCACCUGGGCCCCUCCAGGGGCUCCCUGCACCCCACCCCCACCCCCACCCCCCGCACCCUACCCCUCUUCUGUCUGCUCUUCACAAGGCAGCCAGCUUGAUUUUCUCUAAUGCUAAUUUCCCCUGCCCCUUCUUCGAGGCUUUCUACCCAUUGUCCACACUGCUUCCAGAGUGGAGCAGAUUUUUAUUUUUAAAAAACAAGAUCUGGGGCACCAGGGUGGCUCCAUCGGUUAAGCGUCGACUUCAGCUCAGGUCACGAUCUCCUGGUUUGUGAGU